RNAcentral lists this ribosomal RNA (460 nucleotides) under uncultured bacterium. Its description in RNAcentral is "partial 16S ribosomal RNA". It matches the Rfam family "Bacterial small subunit ribosomal RNA", at positions 338 to 795 of the family's 1533-position model. The record is from RNAcentral.
CCUACGGGAGGCAGCAGUGAGGAAUAUUGGUCAAUGGGCGAGAGCCUGAACCAGCCAAGUCGCGUGAAGGAUGACGGCCCUACGGGUUGUAAACUUCUUUUGUCAGGGAGCAAUUGGGUCCACGCGUGGGCUUAGCGAGAGUACCUGAAGGAAAAGCAUCGGCUAACUCCGUGCAAGCAGCCGCGGUACUACGGAGGAUGCGAGCGGUAUCCGGAGUGAGUGGGGUUAAAGGGUGCGUAGGCGGAAGAUCAAGUCAGCGGUAAAAAUUCGGGGCUCAACCCCGUCGUGCCGUUGAGACUGAUGGUCUUGAGUGGGCGAGAAGUAUGCGGAAUGCGUGGUGUCGCGGUGAAAUGCAUAGAUAGCACGCAGAACUCCGAUUGCGAAGGCAGCAUACCGGCGCCCAACUGACGCUGAAGCACGAAAGCGUGGGUAUCGAACAGGAUUAGAUACCCUAGUAGUC